Molecule: ribosomal RNA, 245 nt
Filed under: uncultured bacterium
Lineage: Bacteria
Description: partial 16S ribosomal RNA
Rfam family: Bacterial small subunit ribosomal RNA
Source: RNAcentral
UACGUAGGUGGCAAGCGUUGUCCGGAUUUACUGGGUGUAAAGGGUGCGUAGGCGGGACGAUAAGUCAGGCGUGAAAUUUAUGGGCUCAACUCAUAACGUGCGUUUGAAACUAUUGUUCUUGAGUGAAGUAGAGGCAGGCGGAAUUCCGAGUGUAGCGGUGAAAUGCGUAGAUAUUCGGAGGAACACCAGUGGCGAAGGCGGCCUGCUGGGCUUUUACUGACGCUGAGGCACGAAAGCAUGGGUAG